RNAcentral lists this ribosomal RNA (482 nucleotides) under uncultured bacterium. Its description in RNAcentral is "partial 16S ribosomal RNA". It matches the Rfam family "Bacterial small subunit ribosomal RNA", at positions 30 to 507 of the family's 1533-position model. The record is from RNAcentral.
AUUGAACGCUGGCGGCAUGCCUUACACAUGCAAGUCGAACGGUAACAGGUCUUCGGAUGCUGACGAGUGGCGAACGGGUGAGUAAUACAUCGGAACGUGCCCGAUCGUGGGGGAUAACGGAGCGAAAGCUUUGCUAAUACCGCAUACGAUCUACGGAUGAAAGCAGGGGACCGCAAGGCCUUGCGCGGGCGGAGCGGCCGAUGGCAGAUUAGGUAGUUGGUGGGUUAAAAGCUUACCAAGCCGACGAUCUGUAGCUGGUCUGAGAGGACGACCAGCCACACUGGGACUGAGACACGGCCCAGACUCCUACGGGAGGCAGCAGUGGGGAAUUUUGGACAAUGGGCGAAAGCCUGAUCCAGCCAUGCCGCGUGCAGGAUGAAGGCCUUCGGGUUGUAAACUGCUUUUGUACGGAACGAAAAGACUCUUUCUAAUAAAGAGGGUCCAUGACGGUACCGUAAGAAUAAGCACCGGCUAACUACGUG